UACGUAGGGUGCAGGCGUUAAUCGGAAUUACUGGGCGUAAAGCGUGCGCAGGCGGCUUCUCAAGUCAGAUGUGAAAUCCCCGGGCUUAACCUGGGAACUGCGUUUGAAACUGGGAGGCUAGAGUGUGGCAGAGGGGGGUGGAAUUCCACGUGUAGCAGUGAAAUGUGUAGAUAUGUGGAGGAACACCGAUGGCGAAGGCAGCCCCCUGGGCCUGCACUGACGCUCAUGCACGAAAGCGUGGGGAGCAAACAGG
RNAcentral lists this ribosomal RNA (253 nucleotides) under uncultured bacterium. Its description in RNAcentral is "partial 16S ribosomal RNA". It matches the Rfam family "Bacterial small subunit ribosomal RNA", at positions 524 to 776 of the family's 1533-position model. The record is from RNAcentral.